Non-coding RNA from Delphinapterus leucas (beluga whale), 341 nucleotides. The record is from RefSeq and is a predicted model, not a curated record. NCBI's taxonomy places the organism in Eukaryota, Metazoa, Chordata, Mammalia, Artiodactyla, Monodontidae.
UUUCUCAGUUCUAGAGGAGAAACAGAGCAAAGAAGAUAUUCAUCACACAAUUUGAAUGAAAGAUGACUGUGGACAAAACUGAGGACUUAAGCCUGGGACACAGCAUCUGAGAUAACUCUGAGAGACUGCUCCGAAGAGGCAAGGGAGAGGAGCCAGGAUAUAUAGGCGUUUUGGCAACAAGGGCAAGAUUUCCUCAAGUGGGAUUGCACGAUCAAUGGGAUAUGUCAUUCUAAACUUUGCUGAAGAUGGCCAGUUCAAUUUCCAAAGAGGGCUUAGCACCCACUCUCAGAAGCAAGGUAAGACUGUUCCCACCUCACACACUUCACCUUCACUUUUAUCAC